RNAcentral lists this ribosomal RNA (645 nucleotides) under Bacillus sp. H9.3. Its description in RNAcentral is "bacterial SSU rRNA". It matches the Rfam family "Bacterial small subunit ribosomal RNA", at positions 74 to 704 of the family's 1533-position model. Lineage: Bacteria; Bacillati; Bacillota; Bacilli; Caryophanales; Bacillaceae. The record is from RNAcentral.
GGGAGCUUGCUCCCUGAGAUUAGCGGCGGACGGGUGAGUAACACGUGGGCAACCUGCCUAUAAGACUGGGAUAACUUCGGGAAACCGGAGCUAAUACCGGAUACGUUCUUUUCUCGCAUGAGAGAAGAUGGAAAGACGGUUUACGCUGUCACUUAUAGAUGGGCCCGCGGCGCAUUAGCUAGUUGGUGAGGUAAUGGCUCACCAAGGCGACGAUGCGUAGCCGACCUGAGAGGGUGAUCGGCCACACUGGGACUGAGACACGGCCCAGACUCCUACGGGAGGCAGCAGUAGGGAAUCUUCCGCAAUGGACGAAAGUCUGACGGAGCAACGCCGCGUGAACGAAGAAGGCCUUCGGGUCGUAAAGUUCUGUUGUUAGGGAAGAACAAGUACCAGAGUAACUGCUGGUACCUUGACGGUACCUAACCAGAAAGCCACGGCUAACUACGUGCCAGCAGCCGCGGUAAUACGUAGGUGGCAAGCGUUGUCCGGAAUUAUUGGGCGUAAAGCGCGCGCAGGUGGUUCCUUAAGUCUGAUGUGAAAGCCCACGGCUCAACCGUGGAGGGUCAUUGGAAACUGGGGAACUUGAGUGCAGAAGAGGAAAGUGGAAUUCCAAGUGUAGCGGUGAAAUGCGUAGAGAUUUGGAGG